AUUCAGGUAGUUUAAAAAAAAUAUUGAUUUGUGGUGUCAAAGAAAUAAUAAUUAUUCUGAAUC
Molecule: transfer RNA, 63 nt
Filed under: Nanhaipotamon hongkongense
Lineage: Eukaryota; Metazoa; Arthropoda; Malacostraca; Decapoda; Potamidae
Description: tRNA-His
Source: RNAcentral